This 298-nucleotide long non-coding RNA is filed under the name Olea europaea (common olive). RNAcentral describes it as "long non-coding RNA (OEUR_LNC000948)". Lineage: Eukaryota; Viridiplantae; Streptophyta; Magnoliopsida; Lamiales; Oleaceae. The record is from RNAcentral.
GCAGAAAAAUGUAGAUUGAAAAGAGUUUUAUUUCAGGAAAGUUGACUAUAUAUAUAUGACACGAAAUCAAAGGACCCUAUUUGGGAUAUAGGUAGGGCACCUUCUUAUGCUAAGGACAUAGAUUUACAACAAGUUGGAAAUAUGGACUAUGAACAUCAAAACAUAGAACUAUCAAACUGAUUUAAGCAUCUUCGGAUCAAGUGCAGAAGCAGUUGAAAUUUUGAAAAAGUAUGAACUGCUAAAAUAAGAGGAAGACAAGCAAAAUGAAAAACUAUUUUACUACAAACUGUGUGAAAUU